ACGGCAGUGGUCCAGUGGUAAGAUACGAGCUUCCCAAGCUUGAGAUUCGGGUUCGAUUCCCGGCUGCCGUA
RNAcentral lists this transfer RNA (71 nucleotides) under Candidatus Woesearchaeota archaeon. RNAcentral's name for it is "tRNA-Gly". It matches the Rfam family "tRNA". From Rfam's summary of the family: Transfer RNA (tRNA) molecules are approximately 80 nucleotides in length. Lineage: Archaea; Nanobdellati; Candidatus Woesearchaeota. The record is from RNAcentral.